Molecule: ribosomal RNA, 418 nt
Filed under: Corynebacterium suicordis
Lineage: Bacteria; Bacillati; Actinomycetota; Actinomycetes; Mycobacteriales; Corynebacteriaceae
Description: bacterial SSU rRNA
Rfam family: Bacterial small subunit ribosomal RNA
Source: RNAcentral
GCACAAGCGGCGGAGCAUGUGGAUUAAUUCGAUGCAACGCGAAGAACCUUACCUGGGCUUGACAUACACCAGAUCGGGCUAGAGAUAGUCCUUCCCUUGUGGCUGGUGUACAGGUGGUGCAUGGUUGUCGUCAGCUCGUGUCGUGAGAUGUUGGGUUAAGUCCCGCAACGAGCGCAACCCUUGUCUUGUGUUGCCAGCACGUAAUGGUGGGGACUCGCGAGAGACUGCCGGGGUUAACUCGGAGGAAGGUGGGGAUGACGUCAAAUCAUCAUGCCCCUUAUGUCCAGGGCUUCACACAUGCUACAAUGGUCGAUACAGUGGGUUGCGAUACCGCGAGGUGGAGCUAAUCCCUUAAAGUCGGCCUCAGUUCGGAUUGGAGUCUGCAACUCGACUCCAUGAAGUCGGAGUCGCUAGUAAU